AGUUAAUCGAUAGAGAUUUACGAUCAGAUAAGCGAGUAGUUUAGAACAGUUUUAGAAAAGUGAUUUAGUGCUACUACAAUUUUGAUGAUCUUGACCGAUCAAAUGCUUCGAUUUCUACCGGAAUUUGCAGGCAGCGCGCGAAAUUCGAGAAGAAUCGAACAACAUGACUCGAGGAGAAAAUGGACAGAAUCGCUAUCGAUAUUGUACGGUGAGAAAACGGGAAGAGAAACAGUAACGUAAUGGUAUUCGAGCGAUGCAGCAAAAUAAUUAGAGAGAAUCGUUGAAUAGACGCUACGUCUCAUUAGUACGAGUACCGAUAAAAAAAAAAACAGGCCGACCCUUGCUUACUGAAACGAGAGAAACAGAAAGAAAUAACGGACCAAUUACGGCAUUGAACCGACUCUGGAAUCAGUAAAAUCAAUCAGAAAAAAUCGUUCUAAGCAAUAUACACAAACACGAAGUUAUACGAACAGUCGUACCUGUUUUAAUCGCGUAUGUACAUUAAUAUCCAUUUAAUCUCUUCGAUACGAACGUUGGGCAGCCACCAAGUGCAUUCCCGAACGGUUAACAUCGACAAUCGCUAUUGAAAUUAGGCAAGUUGCUGGAAGUGGACACUCGAAUUUUCUGUCUUGACAUUUUCUUGAGAUGGAGGGGGAAGGAAUGAGUAAUUGGUAAAUGCAUGAUUUGAAGAACGAGAAGUUCUAACGCCUACGUAUUAAUUAGCGAGAAGCCGUGAGAUGACCACGCGCGACAUUCGAGGGUAGGUAAGAAAAUAAUAAAGCGCAUGAGCUUGAGGAAACGAAAAAAAGGUAAAUUAAUUCAAAGAAACUCCGCGUCUUUGGGUUUCCGUUGGUUAUAAACAGUCAUCGAUUAUUUAAACUAUUUCUAAAGACUCGAUGGCUUUAUAAUCGUACCGUUGCGCUGCAACAAUAAUUAAAAUAAAACAUUCGUAAUACAAUAUGAAAAUCUUAUUCGAAGGAAUCAGUAAUUUUUGCGAGCACAUAGCCUCGCGAUUUCGACAAUAAAUUCAUAUAUACAUUUCGUAGACGCAAAUUUAUGAAAACUUUCUCGUGUUUGCGAUGCGUAAAAUUUAUAUUCGUUAAUACAGUCAACAGUUGAGAAACAGUUGAAAGUUGAAAAUAUCGGUGAAAAAUUAUUCGACACAGAAUUUCUGACGAGUGAUUUAUUAGAUAUAAUAUCUAGUAUUGUAUAUGCGAGACAGCAAUGGUCUCGCAGAACGAAUUCAGACUUUCGUUCGUGUGUUCGUUUCGUGUACACUUGCAGUGGGAGCCUCUAAAAAUAUCAUUGUUACAAUAUGCAGCGGAUGUGGAUUAUAAACGAGCGUUUUACAAGAGGAUAAAUCGUGAAAUUUUAUGUUACUCGUCCGAACAACGUCGCUAGUAUCUUCGCUAAGUUCGUGCUCGAGUUUAAUUCGUUUCCAAAUUUCAUGAUCGUGUAUGACAUAUAGUCUUAAUGUUCUAGUAGAAUAAUUAUAAUUAUUACUACUUAAUUUUAUUACUAUUAUUACUUCUAUUCCAUCACAACAUUUUCCACACAAAAUCAGAUAAGGUAUUUCGUUGAAAUGUCCGUCGACGUAUACCACAAACUCGUAGGUUACAUAAUUGAUACCUAAUCAACAACAAACAAUUGUAUCGAUCUCGAACGCACUGUUACAAAGGUAUUCGAGAACGAGAUAGCAAGCGUUGCUUCUAGAAUUUGCAAGAACGGCCGUUGGUUUGCGUGUCGCUUAGUAAGCACUUCUGCGUGAGAACCGAGCGUGCUCGCGUGUGUAAUGGAAUAUCAUCAGUCGCGCGAUACGUUUCGAAGUAUCAUUCAGAAAUUCCUGCGAUAAUAUUACAUUUACGAUCGACAACGUGACGCCACGUGUAUGACAAAGAUCGAAACGAAACGAUAUCCAGAGACCAAAAGGGAGGGAAAAAGAAAGAGAAAGAAGGAAAAAGAGAGGAAUAGAGAGGAGACAAAGACAGGACUAGGCAAGUGGAGUGAGAAAGAGGGAGAGGGAGAUACGAUCCAGUUUCAAUCCUUUUCUAAACGGUACGAAAUGAAACGAAUAUUCCGUACGGCUUGUGCGUUCGCGAUCUUGCGUCGUUGCGGCGCAGCGGGUUCGUUCAUAAUUACUGGCAGGCUGAAAACUGAAAUCGAAAGAGGCGGAACGAAAUUAGUAACAAUAACGUUAGCCUGCGGCACGGAACGCUGUAACGAGCGCUUUCACAUGGGGAACAAAGGAGGAACCGAGCUUCGAUUUCGCUCGUUGCCGAGGGAAAGAGGGAAAAUACAUACGCGCGCGCGCGCGUUAAAGUCAGAAAGAGAUGGAGAAUCAGAAAGAGAAAGAAGGGAGGCAGACGGUUGAAAGAGAGAAAUCGAAAAGCAAAAGAAAAAAAAGGGCCAAGCAAAAAGAAUCGCGGAGAAGACUCAAAAACUCGGUGGCUGCAAUCCGCAAUCCCUGGCCGAACAUUCUCUUCCUCCCUAUCUCGCUCUUCGAUUCGAGCUAACGUAAGCGCUUUCACGUGGGAAACCAAGUGGUUCGGCCGCGUUUGUAGUCAGACAUCGCCAGUAGAAUUUGCGCGCACACUGCUAGACCGCAAGUCACCGUUGCUUGUCGCGCGCUAGCGAUAGACAUGCUUGCAUUUUUCAGCACCUUCAGCGAUUCCACCGUUCUGCUACGUUAUCUAUACCGAAACCUUCCACUUUCCCCUAACGUUCGCCCUCAUUUUUCUGCACGCCUUUCGCUGAAUCAUUUUUCCCCCUUUUUGAUCAUUUUCUCUCUCUGUCUCUCUGUGUCUACCUCUUUUUCGCUUUUUCUUUCAUGCUAUUUGGAAGAGAUGCGAACGUCACGUUUCUGUAAAAGGAGCAUCUUGUUUCAGAAUUCGAGGUGAAAUAUUUUGAUUGUUCUUGUGGAAAAAAUUCUUUUGUUUCGAAAUGAGCACACUUUUGGGUUAAAAUUUUGGAAACGCUUCUAUUUUCAAUCUCUAUUCUGGCAUUUUUGUAAGAGCGAAAAAGCAGUAUUAUAAAGCAGUUUCAAUGAGAAGUUAAAUUACGAUUAUUUAUAUUAACCCUUUCAAUAACAAAUUUUUGAUGCAUUGCGUGGCAGGGGUUCAGAUGCAUUCUAAAAUGUGGAGUUCGAUGCUAUUAGCAGCGUAAAAAUUGAUUCCGGACACGUUCAACGAAAGAUUCGUACAUUGUAAUUUCACAUCUGUAAAAAAGGAUAUUGUGUCGUUUGAAAUUUCUAUCGGCUACAUCGGCGUGGUAUUUUAAAUUCGCUACGAACGGAUUUGCAAAAUACGACACGGCAAGGAAAAAGAGUCACAGGAUAACGAUACGCGAAUAAUAUCAGAAUUUAUAAUGCGACGUUUACAAAAUAUUUCACGAGCGCCGGCCAAUUGAGUAUUACACAGCACGCAAACGCGCCAAUGCUGGUCUCUAUUUGAAUAUUAAACGAAAUCUUUGUUUCCGGUUUAAUUAAUAAAUUUCAACGUCGAUUUAUAAUUCACAAUCUGUACAGCCAAAUAGAAGCAUGGCUGGCCAGGGAAAAUUACCGUGUUACUCGAACGUAAUUCGAAGGACUGACUGCCGAUCGAUAAAUCGUAACGAGUCUGUAUGCGUGAGUUUUCAAUGUAUGAGAAAUAAUCAUCUCGAUGAAAUAUUCGAUGGAAAUUAUCGUUGUUACGCGAGGAUAUUUUCUAUAAUUAGGAUAUAAUAUCGUUGAACGUUAUAAAAUCACCGAUAUAAGAAACUCGUUUCUACAGUCAUAAAGAGGAAGUUGUUUAUUCAAUUACGUUAUUACACUUAAAUAUCAUUUACAGUGCAUGCCGAUUAUAAGAAAUCUCUCUCCACAUCAACUUUCUAAUUAUUAUUAAAUAGUUUAAUUACGUAUACAUGUACAGAUGCAUUAUCGAUGAAAGAAAUAUUAACACGAUAGUAUCUAAUUACGGUUGCGUAAUACUUCUCAAUGAUUAAAUAGAAAAUAUCAUGUCUAACCGCAAACGUACAAUUACUUUUCUAUUAUUAUCUGUUGUCGAUGUAUUAAACAUACAUAUACAGGUUUAACAUUGUUCACGUUAUCAUAACACAUUGCAAUCAUUUGUAAAUAAAUAACGUCUCAUCGUACUCAAAUUUUUAAUUAAAGCUUCACCAAAAAAUCCGCUUCUGUCGUCGAAAUUAACACUCGCACACUGAGAAAACCAUAGGGACGGACGCUCGUUAUAGUCAGCGCGAAACCGUAGAACGAGCUUCAUGGUUCGUGAUCAACGAUUCUCACGCUAGAUUGGUCACAUGCGUGAAAAUUGAGACGCACCGAUACUUUUUCCAUUAAUUUAUGAAAGUGGAACCGGAAAGCUGUCGAAAUCAUAGAAAUGGAAAUAACACCGUGAUUUUUAUUUUGCACCGAAAUGAUCAUUUCCCAUUUCGACUAAAUUGCGAGUUCUUUUAUUACUUUGGCUUACAGCUACCAUAACCGACGCUAUGCAGCCCUAUGAAAAUGUCCACAUUAAAAUCUAUAUCGCAACACGACCGCCCAUCCAUCGAUCCAGGAAAACUAAUUAACUAAUUUUCUAUGGUUUACUUCAUUCCUCGCCCGCCUCCUGUUGUUGCGUAUAUGUGCGUGUGUAUUGCGACCCAGUGUUCUCGCCACUUUCCACGUUGCUCUAAACAAGGUUCGAAACAGGUUUUUGCUGGUUAACGAUAACCAACGACGGCAGAAGUUUACUCUCCUCGGACCGGAACGUACCAUUAAACUUUACGCCGCCACGAGAAUCGUGCGCAGCUUCGACACGUUAUGUUUUCAACUUAGAUUUAUCGACUAACCGACGACUGUUGCAGAAAUAAUCGAGAAAUUGUUCCUCGAUUUCUUCCAAGAUCGGUGUACCGUUCAAAUGGUAUGCCACUUGAUUAACGACUUUUUGUUUUCCUCGAAAAAUCCUCCGUUUUUCUGUCAGAAGUCACGCGUGCGGGUGAAUCGAACAGCGAUCGAGUAAGCUACUUAACACGUAUUUAGAGGUUUUAAUUCAAUAUUUUUCCAAUAUUUCAAAAACAUCCUAUAGAAUCCAGUGACUUUCCACGUCAAAUAGGAAUAACUAAUUGUUGUUCGGUGGUCGCGAGGUUUUUCAGGGACGACUAGGGCAAAGGUCGUGGACGUCGAUAUUUGUGAGUAUGUAUGUAGCAAUCGACACAAUUGGAGCAGCUUCUGCGUUCAUGUACACGUCAGAACGCAUUAUUGCUUGGCAUUCGGCGUUUGCUUUUAUGUAACGCUGUUGUUUUUUUGCAAGUGUUCUUUUACCAUCUAAAUAGAGAGAGCGCGAAACGUGCGGCCGUCACUGACGCCGAAACCGAUACACAAACGGCAGGCGUUUUACAUCUGCAUAGCAUACCGACGCGCAACCCAGCGGAACACUCCUUUUCUUCUGCUUUUUUUAUCUUUGGCCUCGAGUCCGUUCCGAUAUCGCCACUUUUGCUGUUCGAUUAUAGCACGAGCUGGCGUUUCUUGUAAACGCGUUCGAUUUGAUCGCGCGGCUCCCACGCGCUUACAAUUGGACUCGGGCCAGGCUAUGCGCGUUAUCGUACUUUACACGCUGCUCUUUCAUCAACUAUGAGUCACUGCUCUCUGGCAUGCACUUCUGUCUCUCUUCCUAUUUCCCUCAACCUCCAUUGUGCUGUAGAGUAUGAUAUACGAUGAUCGAUAAUCCUAAUAAUUGUUUUUAACAACUAAAGUACAAUAUUCCAAAAUGUUUUCUUAAACCUACAAAUGUAUCGUUAUAAUUGCUCAAUAACAUCGCUGUUCUAAUACAAGAAGAAAACAUAAUUACUCUUUGUUGAAGUAAUUUACAAGAUGCAAACGCUUCUGCGGCGCAAACACCAUUGUUGAAAGUAGAAUGCGGAAUAAUCGAAAACAAAGGACCUGUAUGUAUUAGCAUGACACGAGCAUGAGCGAAACACAUGAUACAUUCGUAGCAUCGCAAAAUACUCGCACGUGUUACAAUUUUAUGCAAUUAAUUUCGACACAGGUUCUGUCUCUCAGUCACAGGCCGUUAAGGAGUUAAUGAUAUACAUAUAUUCCUUCUCAUCAUCUUCCGAAAUUUCUUACUACACCAGAUUUGAACUUUUUACAACGGCUCUUGUACUUCUCUUAGCGAAUACCACAGUGAUUUUACUUUUGAACUUUGAGAAAUGUACGAACCUGUUACACGUGUACGCACGUUGGGUCAAAUACUAGGAGCUUCGGUACAUUAUUUUGUCCUGUAAUAGAUUCUAAAAAGAUAUCCUUCGUUUAUAAGUCGUUAGUCGGCAGGACUUUGAAUAUCGUACUGCAUCUUCAACUUUUGUAGAAUUUAUCUUUUAAACGAAUUUCGUGUCUUUGAUCAGUGACCUUUCAAUCUCUUUUACUUUGUGACCUCCUGACAAUUUUCUGGUUCCAAUCAUUUUCUUAUUUUUCACGAGAGCUGGUCACAACAGGUCACCGUUUUAGUUUCAAGUUUCAACAUACGUAUUUACAUUGCAGUUCGUUUACUAAUAAAACAUUUUCACGUGACAUUCGAUGUCAGAAGCAUGAGUUGGAAAAAUAUAAAUUGAAUCCACCGUGAAUUUAAAUAUACGAUAAUAUAUCGACUUUUAUUACAAAAAAAGAUAUAGUACAUCCAACGUGCUAUUUAAACAAUUUCAUUCAGAACAUUGCAUAAAAUAAUAUAAUAUUAUUGUGUCAGUUGCUUGGAUUAUCUUGACGAAAUUUCACGACCUAAUAAUAAUUUCGAUUAUUUCGCUGCGUCAUGUCAACAAAUGCUACUUUGUUAAUGCCGUAAAACGUCAAUUAUCUAGAUAUCAACUAUUCGAACAUCGAUUAUCUGGACUUCCAAUUAUACGGGCGUUGCCUCUCUGACUCCCGAUUAUCCGAGACAUGUAAUCAGAGAUUCUUGUACAUGUAGGUCACCAAGUCGAAAAUCUACUCCUUGUGUACACGCAGAACCUUCCUUACAUUACGCAGAGAAGAAGGUUUUAGGAGAAAUAAUUCUCGGAAAAAUUCAAUUAUUCCGAAUGCGUUUGAAAUAUAAACGAAUUUCUACGUCGUAAGUCUAUUUCAAUAAUACACCAUAUGUGUUCGACGCUUAAAAUAAUUUCAAGUGCCUUCCUCAAUGCCAGUUAAAGUAAAUACACUGCAGAUACCAAAAGCAUAGAAUGUCGUCGAACGUCGUUUAAUCGCACAAAUUGAUAUUCUUAUUCAAAAUUAUUGUAACAUAAUAUUUGAAAAGGAAUUAGAAUAAAUAAUAACGUUAAAGAAAUAUAUUAUAUUUCUCUGCAUGAGCAUAUACGUUAUUCAACGAACUGGAAAGGAAAGUGGUAAAGCGUAUGUUUUCUUUGAUUCAGUUAAACUAUUCCCCUGCUAUUACGAUACGAGAUGACAAUAGCAUCGUUUAGCGAAAAAUUAUUCGCUUGAAGCAGCAUUUCGUACCAAGUAGGUGUAAUCGUAUCGAAGUUAACUUGGAAAAAUAAACGUAUUACAUCAUUUCAAACGAUGCAAGUAAAAUCACACAAGAUUGAACAAAAAUUACAGUUGCAUUCGCAUCGUAAAGCCUUGAAUAAAACGCGGAGAAGGGAAACAAGUUUCCUAUCCAUUAUCACGACGAGCAUGUUGCAACGUCAUUAGCGUAUAAUUUCAUUCCGUGUUGUAUAAUUGCAUAGCAUAAUUGUCGACGACGGAAAAUCCUCCGCGAUACUCUAAUAAUGCGCAAACUUCUCGUCUAUAUGAAACGAACCUUGUCUUCCUCGUGUCUACCGAGUCGUCCCAUUCAUAACGAAAUGAGAACUAUCGUCGUAAAAACUGACCCACAAUAUCGUAAUACAUACAUACAUUCAUCUGUAAAUGAGGAAAAUUCCUUUCUGAUUUUACCUUGACGAUGAAUAUAUCGCUACGUACUCGCUCAUAGCGCACGUCAGGCAUGUUGAUUGUAAAAUAAUAGUAUAGUAUAGUGUGUAGUGUGUAUUGCUGGAAAGAAGACUAGCGUAAGGAAUGCGGAUCUGAUUGCUUAUUUUAUGUAGGCUGAAUGUGAUUCAGAAUCCGUGUAUUGGCCGAAAAUGUCACGUAUACGAACAAGACAAUACUUACAACAACGUGUGACGGUAAACAAUACAAAGUAGAACAAUACCGUCCUUGCCCCUAUGCCGGCCAGCUAGUUUUCUUUUCAGCAAUGCACAACGCAUUACAUAACAUAUACAAAAAAUGCAUUACCGCUUAUGAGCAGAAAAUGUUUAUGCAAAUUCAUAUUUUACGAACGUAUUCAACGACUCGCUAUUUCAUAUCGUUUAUAACACAGUUAUUUUCGUCCGAUUUCUAAUUCUGGGUUCCCAUAACGGUAAUUGACACGUGAAUGGCGGAUGUCUGAUAAGAGUUACGAAAGAAUGACCUCGCGUACCAUAACCUCUUUUAUAACUUAACUGAUAGUAUUGUGAAAUAAUAAUUAUUAUAAGUGAAUAGUGGAGAAGCUUGAAUAGAUCGACUGGUAUAUAAAGUCAUCGUAUAACAAGAUUUAUAAUUAACGCGGAGCGAAAUAAAAUGAUCUAUCUACGAUCGUAAGUCCUUCGAUUUCUACAUAGAUUCCACUCAUCUGCAAUAUAAAAAACUGGCGGUAUUAGAUUCUAAUUAAAAAUAAUAAUUCUAAACGUGUAAUUCUAAUAGAAGAAUUCUCUAAUUCGAAGUGAUUAUGAAAGCUGCCCAAAAACAACGCAAACCCUUAUACGGCGGUAGGUUGUACAUAUACGCUUGUGGAUAACGAGCUUAAGAGAAAAGCUCGCACGCGAAGGGAUUGAAAGAAGAAAGAGCAUGAGUCAGCCACUCGUUCCUUUUCCCGGUACAGACACCUUCUCGAGAGUUCGUGUCCAGACCCGUUACGUCGAAAGAACAAGACGCCUUCGAAGAUGCAGCUACUCCGUGAAAACAUAUCGCAGCUUUCCUGGCCUGGUCUCUCGGUCAAAAGCUCUCGCAGAAGACAAUUCGCUUCCACUUUGCUGUAUCGUUUCUCGACACCGCACCGCGGCAAAGACGCCGAGAAUAAAUCCACGAUACCGAUUUGUCGCCAGUGCCUGGUGAUUUUGGCACGAGGCUCACGUGCCACGAUAAAGCGACGUGCCGAUCGGGACAAAGACGCCGGAACAGCGUUUUCUCCAGUAGCCACCGCACGUUCGACAACCCGACGAAUGUCGUAAGCUCGCUCUGUUCUUCAAAUUCUUUUCCUUUUAUUUCCUCCUGUUUCCUUCCCUUUUCUCCCUUUUCUGUCGCGGAAGAUAUUAUGGUUUGUAGAUCGCGUACGCACGAAGAGAAUCGAAAUUUGCUCCGAGAUCUUUUUCAGAUUUAUUUAUCAGACUCGUUUGAAUAUUUCUGUUAACCCUUUUUAAUGAUUCCGCGAGAAUGGAAUGCUACAUUGUAAAUGUAUACUGCAGAUCUAAAAAGCAAACUUGUCAUUACUUAUUGUCAAAUUUAAAAACUUGCUUAAAGAUUCUCUAAUGCCGCGUUAUUGGGGAUUAUUUUCAAACAUUGUUUUUCAGAUAAUUAUAUAAAAUAGCUUUAUAUAUUACAUUAUUUGAAAUUCUCUCGAAAUCUGCUUCAUCGCUGUGCGUACAACUCGACAGUAGACGAACUAUUUUCUUGCAACAAUUUCAGUUAGGAGUAUCAAUUGAUGCGUGACCCCGAACUUAUGAACGCUGACGUACAAUACAAUACCACGAGUAAUUAUUCGAACGGGUAUAUGUUUGCUAUUUAUCAUUGGAGAGCCCGUAUCUCCGAUUAUGAAUUUGUAUAAUUCAAACCGCAAAAAUCGACAAAGAGAAAUGCUGCUUCCUUUAUUAUGAAAAAUGUAUGGUGUCGAUCAGUGCAAUUAAUGAUCAUGUUUAUCGUUAAAGGCGUUAAGGCAGAUUCGGAGAAAUAUUAAUUUCAAGUAGUGAUAUUUUUCGUAUCGAAUAAGUAUGUUUGAAACUUUAUGGCAAUUCGAAUCAUCACGCGUGACCCAAUUAAUAGUCCUUGAAUCAAGAACGUACAGAUUCUGCUUGAUUUUACGUGGCGCAGGCAUACCAUCACAGCCAAGCUUUAUCUUUCGGGAAUCAAAUCGUCGGUUCAAGAAACAAUCUUUCUGCCGCAAUAAAAUUACAAUUCGCUGUUUUUUUCAACGAAUAACUGAAUCUUUAUACGGUUUAAUUUAAGAACGAUAAACAGAUGAUGGCGAUGUCUGGGUCAUUUCUGACCAGUACAACUUCCUACAUGCAAUUCCAUUGUUAAAUAUGUAAAGAUAGGCUAUUACAGCUACUAUUUAUAGAACUUUACUCAAAGAUUUAUCGAUUAUCAUUCUCGUUACCUAACGGAAGCUAUGUAACUGUCGAAAUUAUAAAUCUAAAGAAACUAAACUACACGCAACGAGAUGCGUAGAAUCAUAAAAUAUUACGAAAAAAUUAUGAAAGAUAUAUAGUCGACCGUCGUAUAACGGGGAGAUACGUUUCGCGUUAUAUGAAGCAGCGUCAUAUACGAUAAUAUGCGUUAUACGAAUCACAUGUAUAUAUUAUAUAUGGAUUAUGGAGAUCCAUUGUACUAGAACAUAACUAGAAAAUUUAUAAUAAAUCGAAAGCUGGAUACAAA
Molecule: long non-coding RNA, 10630 nt
Organism: Bombus pyrosoma
Lineage: Eukaryota; Metazoa; Arthropoda; Insecta; Hymenoptera; Apidae
Exons: 2
Source: RefSeq, a predicted model, not a curated record